RNAcentral lists this long non-coding RNA (408 nucleotides) under Bos indicus x Bos taurus (hybrid cattle). Its description in RNAcentral is "lncRNA (ENSBIXG00005028859.1)". The record is from RNAcentral. Lineage: Eukaryota; Metazoa; Chordata; Mammalia; Artiodactyla; Bovidae.
GACAGAUGCCAGCUGUCAGUGCCUUCAGGAUCUGCUCAGGUGUGGAGAACUGCCUUCUCAGGUUGAUGCUACUCUUACGCUCUAGUGCAGUGUGCCAAAACAUGACUGAAUAAAGUCUUUGACAGUAAAGGGAACUUUGGAUGCCUUCUUGUAUUCUACAGCAUGUGCUUAGUGUCUGGGACAUCAUAAAUGGUGAACGAAGGUAAGAUAAAUGACAGAUUACAGGAACGAUUACCAAUACAACUACCUGCUUAAAACAUAUGCUAGCACUCAGAACAAGUUAAGAAAAUGAUCAAGUCUAUGAAAAAUAUAUUGAAAUACAUAUAACACUGAAUCGAAGAAACAGGCAUAAAUAUAAAAAUAAGACAUUAGAAUAAACAACCAGGUAUAUUGAGGUGAUAAAUAUGA